This 468-nucleotide ribosomal RNA is filed under the name uncultured bacterium. RNAcentral describes it as "partial 16S ribosomal RNA". It matches the Rfam family "Bacterial small subunit ribosomal RNA", at positions 28 to 507 of the family's 1533-position model. The record is from RNAcentral.
GACGAACGCUGGCGGCGUGCUUAACACAUGCAAGUCGAACGGAAAGGCCCUGCUUUUGUGGGGUGCUCGAGUGGCGAACGGGUGAGUAACACGUGAGUAACCUGCCCUUGACUUUGGGAUAACUUCAGGAAACUGGGGCUAAUACCGGAUAGGAGCUCCUGCUGCAUGGUGGGGGUUGGAAAGUUUCGGCGGUUGGGGAUGGACUCGCGGCUUAUCAGCUUGUUGGUGGGGUAGUGGCUUACCAAGGCUUUGACGGGUAGCCGGCCUGAGAGGGUGACCGGGCACAAUGGGAGUGGGAUAAGGCCCCGGCUGCCGCGGGAGGGAGCAGGGGGGAAUGGUGCACCAGGGGCGGAAGCCUGAAGCCGGCACGCCCGUUGCGGGAUGGCGGCCUUCGGGUUGUAAACCGCUUUCGCCUGUGACGAAGCGUGAGUGACGGUAAUGGGUAAAAAAGCACCGGCUAACUACGUG